RNAcentral lists this ribosomal RNA (460 nucleotides) under uncultured bacterium. Its description in RNAcentral is "partial 16S ribosomal RNA". It matches the Rfam family "Bacterial small subunit ribosomal RNA", at positions 338 to 795 of the family's 1533-position model. The record is from RNAcentral.
CCUACGGGAGGCUGCAGUGAGGAAUAUUGGUCAAUGGGCGCAAGCCUGAACCAGCCAAGUCGCGUGAGGGAAGACGGCCCUACGGGUUGUAAACCUCUUUUGCCGGGGAGCAAGCCUGAGCACGUGUGCCCAGGCGGAGAGUACCCGGAGAAAAAGCAUCGGCUGACCCCGUGCCAGCAGCCGCGGUCAGACGGAGGAUGCGAGCGUUAUCCGGAUUGAUUGGGGUUAAAGGGUGGGCAGGCGGGCUGUUAAGGCGGGGGUAAAAAUUCAGGACUCAACCCGGUCGAGCCGUCGGGACUGGCAGUCGUGAGUGGGCGAGAAGUAAGCGGAAUGCGUGGUGUAGCGGUGAAAUGAAUAGAUAGCACGCAGAACGCCGAUUGCGAAGGCAGCAUACCGGGGCCCGACUGACGCUGAGGCACGAAAGCGUGGGGAUCGAACAGGAUUAGAUACCCUAGUAGUC